Molecule: transfer RNA, 66 nt
Filed under: Acidobacteriota bacterium
Lineage: Bacteria; Pseudomonadati; Acidobacteriota
Description: Acidobacteria bacterium tRNA-Thr
Source: RNAcentral
GGGCCUCGCGGCCCCGACUGAUUUGUAAUCAGUAGGUUGGGGGUUCAAUCCCCUUCGCCAGCUCCA